RNAcentral lists this ribosomal RNA (509 nucleotides) under Lamprocryptus sp. 2 BFS-2018. Its description in RNAcentral is "partial 16S large subunit ribosomal RNA". The stretch from base 381 to 509 matches the Rfam family "Archaeal large subunit ribosomal RNA", at positions 2544 to 2672 of the family's 2987-position model. Lineage: Eukaryota; Metazoa; Arthropoda; Insecta; Hymenoptera; Ichneumonidae. The record is from RNAcentral.
UCUUAUAGAAAAUAAUUUUAAGUCUAAUCUGCUCCAUGAUAUUAAUAUUUAAAUAGCUGCAGUAUCCUGACUGUACAAAGGUAGCAUAAUCAAUAGUUUUUUAAUUAAAAGCUGGAAUGAAUGAUUUGAUAAGGUGAUUAUUGUCUCAAAUUUAGUAAAAUUAGAAUUUUUUUUGUUAGUUAAAAAGCUUUCAUAAAUUAAAAAGACAAGAAGACCCUAUAGAUUUUUAUAUUUUAAAAUAAUUUAAAAAAAAUUAAUUUAUUUAAAAGAUAUUAGAUUGGGGAAAUUAUUAAAUUAAUAAAAUUUUAAUAUAGUAUUAUGACAAUAAUUAUUGAUUAGUUGAUCUUAUUAUAUAAAUUAAGAGAAUAAAAUACCUUAGGGAUAACAGCGUAAUUUUUUUGGAAAGAUCAAAUUGAUAAAAAAGAUUGCGACCUCGAUGUUGAAUUAAGAUAAAAUUUUAAAGUAGAAAUUAAAAAUUUUUAGUCUGUUCGACUAUUAAAAUCUUACGU